CUGGUGCAUGCCAUCUGGUUGGCUGUUGAA
Molecule: non-coding RNA, 30 nt
Filed under: Homo sapiens (human)
Lineage: Eukaryota; Metazoa; Chordata; Mammalia; Primates; Hominidae
Source: RNAcentral